AUACGUAGGGUGCAAGCGUUAAUCGGAAUUACUGGGCGUAAAGCGUGCGCAGGCGGUUUUGUAAGACAGAGGUGAAAUCCCCGGGCUCAACCUGGGAACUGCAAUUGUGACUGCAAGGCUGGAGUGCGGCAGAGGGGGAUGGAAUUCCGCGUGUAGCAGUGAAAUGCGUAGAUAUGCGGAGGAACACCGAUGGCGAAGGCAAUCCCCUGGGCCUGCACUGACGCUCAUGCACGAAAGCGGGGGGAGCAAACAGGAUUAGAUACCCUGUUAGUCCACGCCCUAAACGAUGUCAACUGGUUGUUGGGGAUUUAUUUUCUCAGUAACGAAGCUAACGCGUGAAGUUGACCGCCUGGGGAGUACGGCCGCAAGGUUAAAACUCAAAUGAAUUGACGGGG
RNAcentral lists this ribosomal RNA (395 nucleotides) under uncultured bacterium. RNAcentral describes it as "partial 16S ribosomal RNA". It matches the Rfam family "Bacterial small subunit ribosomal RNA", at positions 523 to 918 of the family's 1533-position model. The record is from RNAcentral.